Molecule: ribosomal RNA, 250 nt
Filed under: uncultured bacterium
Lineage: Bacteria
Description: partial 16S ribosomal RNA
Rfam family: Bacterial small subunit ribosomal RNA
Source: RNAcentral
ACGUAGGUGGCAAGCGUUGUCCGGAAUUACUGGGUGUAAAGGGAGCGUAGGCGGGAAGGCAAGUCGAUUGUCUAAACUAUGGGCUCAACCCAUAGUCGCGAUCGAAACUGUCUUUCUUGAGUGAAGUAGAGGUAAGCGGAAUUCCUAGUGUAGCGGUGAAAUGCGUAAAUAUUAGGAGGAACACCAGUGGCGAAGGCGGCUUACUGGGCUUUAACUGACGCUGAGGCUCGAAAGCGUGGGUAGCAAACAG